UGGGGGGGGGGGGCCUAUACAUGCAAGUCGAACGAGUUCUGAUUAUUGAAAGGUGCUUGCAUCUUGAUUUAAUUUUGAACGAGUGGCGGACGGGUGAGUAACACGUGGGUAACCUGCCCUUAAGUGGGGGAUAACAUUUGGAAACAGAUGCUAAUACCGCAUAAAUCCAAGAACCGCAUGGUUCUUGGCUGAAAGAUGGCGUAAGCUAUCGCUUUUGGAUGGACCCGCGGCGUAUUAGCUAGUUGGUGAGGUAACGGCUCACCAAGGCAAUGAUACGUAGCCGAACUGAGAGGUUGAUCGGCCACAUUGGGACUGAGACACGGCCCAAACUCCUACGGGAGGCAGCAGUAGGGAAUCUUCCACAAUGGACGCAAGUCUGAUGGAGCAACGCCGCGUGAGUGAAGAAGGCUUUCGGGUCGUAAAACUCUGUUGUUGGAGAAGAAUGGUCGGCAGAGUAACUGUUGUCGGCGUGACGGUAUCCAACCAGAAAGCCACGGCUAACUACGUGCCAGCAGCCGCGGUAAUACGUAGGUGGCAAGCGUUAUCCGGAUUUAUUGGGCGUAAAGCGAGCGCAGGCGGUUUUUUAAGUCUGAUGUGAAAGCCCUCGGCUUAACCGAGGAAGUGCAUCGGAAACUGGGAAACUUGAGUGCAGAAGAGGACAGUGGAACUCCAUGUGUAGCGGUGAAAUGCGUAGAUAUAUGGAAGAACACCAGUGGCGAAGGCGGCUGUCUGGUCUGUAACUGACGCUGAGGCUCGAAAGCAUGGGUAGCGAACAGGAUUAGAUACCCUGGUAGUCCAUGCCGUAAACGAUGAAUGCUAGGUGUUGGAGGGUUUCCGCCCUUCAGUGCCGCAGCUAACGCAUUAAGCAUUCCGCCUGGGGAGUACGACCGCAAGGUUGAAACUCAAAGGAAUUGACGGGGGCCCGCACAAGCGGUGGAGCAUGUGGUUUAAUUCGAAGCAACGCGAAGAACCUUACCAGGUCUUGACAUCUUUUGAUCACCUGAGAGAUCAGGUUUCCCCUUCGGGGGCAAAAUGACAGGUGGUGCAUGGUUGUCGUCAGCUCGUGUCGUGAGAUGUUGGGUUAAGUCCCGCAACGAGCGCAACCCUUAUGACUAGUUGCCAGCAUUUAGUUGGGCACUCUAGUAAGACUGCCGGUGACAAACCGGAGGAAGGUGGGGAUGACGUCAAAUCAUCAUGCCCCUUAUGACCUGGGCUACACACGUGCUACAAUGGAUGGUACAACGAGUUGCGAGACCGCGAGGUCAAGCUAAUCUCUUAAAGCCAUUCUCAGUUCGGACUGUAGGCUGCAACUCGCCUACACGAAGUCGGAAUCGCUAGUAAUCGCGGAUCAGCACGCCGCGGUGAAUACGUUCCCGGGCCUUGUACACACCGCCCGUCACACCAUGAGAGUUUGUAACACCCGAAGCCGGUGGCGUAACCCUUUUAGGGAGCGAGCCGUCUAAAGGGGGACAAAAAUGG
This 1479-nucleotide ribosomal RNA is filed under the name Lacticaseibacillus rhamnosus. RNAcentral's name for it is "bacterial SSU rRNA". It matches the Rfam family "Bacterial small subunit ribosomal RNA". Lineage: Bacteria; Bacillati; Bacillota; Bacilli; Lactobacillales; Lactobacillaceae. The record is from RNAcentral.